GCAAAUCGAACGGCANCACGGGGAGCAAUCCUGGUUGGCGAGAUGGCGAACGGNCUGANGUAAUAUAUCGGAACGUGCCCAGUCGUGGGGGAUAACGCAGCGAAAGCUGUGCUAAUACCGCAUACGAUCUAUGGAUGAAAGCGGGGGAUCGCAAGACCUCGCGCGAUUGGAGCGGCCGAUAUCAGAUUAGCUAGUUGGUGGGGUAAAGGCCCACCAAGGCGACGAUCUGUAGCUGGUCUGAGAGGACGACCAGCCACACUGGAACUGAGACACGGUCCAGACUCCUACGGGAGGCAGCAGUGGGGAAUUUUGGACAAUGGGCGCAAGCCUGAUCCAGCAAUGCCGCGUGCAGGAUGAAGGCCUUCGGGUUGUAAACUGCUUUUGUACGGAACGAAACGGUGAGCUCUAAUAAAGUUUGCUAAUGACGGUACCGUAAGAAUAANCACCGGCUAACUACGUGCCAGCAGCCGCGGUAAUACGUAGGGUGCGAGCGUUAAUCGGAAUUACUGGGCGUAAAGCGUGCGCAGGCGGUUAUAUAAGACAGAUGUGAAAUCCCCGGGCUCAACCUGGGACCUGCAUUUGUGACUGUAUAGCUAGAGUACGGUAGAGGGGGAUGGAAUUCCGCGUGUANCAGUGAAAUGCGUANAUAUGCGGAGGAACACCGAUGGCGAAGGCAAUCCCCUGGACCUGUACUGACNCUCAUGCACGAAAGCGUGGGGAGCAAACAGGAUUAGAUACCCUGGUAGUCCACGCCCUAAACGAUGUCAACUGGUUGUUGGGUCUUCNCUGACUCAGUAACGAAGCUANCGCGUGAANUUGACCGCCUGGGGNAGUACGNCCCCANGGUNGAAACUCNAAGGANUG
This 864-nucleotide ribosomal RNA is filed under the name Rhodoferax sp. RNAcentral's name for it is "bacterial SSU rRNA". It matches the Rfam family "Bacterial small subunit ribosomal RNA", at positions 57 to 911 of the family's 1533-position model. Lineage: Bacteria; Pseudomonadati; Pseudomonadota; Betaproteobacteria; Burkholderiales; Comamonadaceae. The record is from RNAcentral.